UCGACGCCCUUACAGCUGUUUGUGAGUAUGGCUAGCAGGCAGACGGUACGCUUGAGAGGGUGAACGUCCACUGACUGAGAACACGUCAGCUCUACCGAAGCAGCAUCGAAUAUUGCACAAUGGCGAAGCUGAUGCAGCAACGCCGCGGGAGGGAUGACGCUUCGGUUGUAAACCUCUUUUAGUAGGGAAGAAGGGAGCUUCGGUCUGACGGUACUGCAGAAAAAAGCACGGCUAACUACGUGCCAGCAGCCGCGGUAAUACGUAGGGUGCAAGCGUUGUCCGGGAAUUAUUGGGCGUAAAGAGCUCGUAGGCGGUUUGUCGCGUCUGCUGUGAAAACGCGAGGCUCAACCUCGCGCCUGCAGUGGGUACGGGCAGACUAGAGUGCGGUAGGGGAGAUUGGAAUUCCUGGUGUAGCGGUGGAAUGCGCAGAUAUCAGGAGGAACACCGAUGGCGAAGGCAGAUCUCUGGGCCGUAACUGACGCUGAGGAGCGAAAGCGUGGGGAGCGAACAGGAUUAGAUACCCUGGUAGUCCACGCCGUAAACGUUGGGAACUAGAUGUGGGGACCAUUCCACGGUCUCCGUGUCGCAGCUAACGCAUUAAGUUCCCCGCCUGGGGAGUACGGCCGCAAGGCUAAAACUCAAAGGAAUUGACGGGGGCCCGCACAAGCGGCGGAGCAUGCGGAUUAAUUCGAUGCAACGCGAAGAACCUUACCAAGGCUUGACAUAUACCGGAAACGUCUGGAAACAGUCGCCCCGCAAGGUCGGUAUACAGGUGGUGCAUGGUUGUCGUCAGCUCGUGUCGUGAGAUGUUGGGUUAAGUCCCGCAACGAGCGCAACCCUCGUUCUAUGUUGCCAGCACGUAAUGGUGGGAACUCAUGGAAGACUGCCGGGGUCAACUCGGAGGAAGGUGGGGAUGACGUCAAAUCAUCAUGCCCCUUAUGUCUUGGGCUUCACGCAUGCUACAAUGGCCGGUACAAAGGGCUGCAAUACCGUAAGGUGGAGCGAAUCCCAAAAAGCCGGUCUCAGUUCGGAUUGAGGUCUGCAACUCGACCUCAUGAAGUCGGAGUCGCUAGUAAUCGCAGAUCAGCAACGCUGCGGUGAAUACGUUCCCGGGCCUUGUACACACCGCCCGUCAAGUCAUGAAAGUCGGUAACACCCGAAGCCAGUGGCCUAACCCUUGUGGAUGGAGCUGUCUAAGGUGAAUCGUAAAGUCCCC
This 1216-nucleotide ribosomal RNA is filed under the name uncultured bacterium. RNAcentral describes it as "partial 16S ribosomal RNA". It matches the Rfam family "Bacterial small subunit ribosomal RNA", at positions 230 to 1477 of the family's 1533-position model. The record is from RNAcentral.